AUUGAACGCUGGCGGCAUGCCUUACACAUGCAAGUCGAACGGUAACGGGCCUUCGGGUGCCGACGAGUGGCGAACGGGUGCGUAAUACAUCGGAACGUGCCCGAUCGUGGGGGAUAACGAGGCGAAAGCUUUGCUAAUACCGCAUACGAUCUACGGAUGAAAGCAGGGGACCGCAAGGCCUUGCGCGGACGGAGCGGCCGAUGGCAGAUUAGGUAGUUGGUGGGAUAAAAGCUUACCAAGCCGACGAUCUGUAGCUGGUCUGAGAGGAUGAUCAGCCACACUGGGACUGAGACACGGCCCAGACUCCUACGGGAGGCAGCAGUGGGGAAUUUUGGACAAUGGGCGCAAGCCUGAUCCAGCCAUGCCGCGUGCAGGAUGAAGGCCUUCGGGUUGUAAACUGCUUUUGUACGGAACGAAAAGCCUUCUUUUAAUACAGGAGGGUAAUGACGGUACCGUAAGAAUAAGCACCGGCUAACUACGUG
This 482-nucleotide ribosomal RNA is filed under the name uncultured bacterium. Its description in RNAcentral is "partial 16S ribosomal RNA". It matches the Rfam family "Bacterial small subunit ribosomal RNA", at positions 30 to 507 of the family's 1533-position model. The record is from RNAcentral.